This 882-nucleotide ribosomal RNA is filed under the name uncultured bacterium. Its description in RNAcentral is "bacterial SSU rRNA". It matches the Rfam family "Bacterial small subunit ribosomal RNA", at positions 83 to 995 of the family's 1533-position model. The record is from RNAcentral.
UACUUGUAGGGAGCGGCGGACGGGUGCGUAACGCGUGGGAAUCUGCCCUGAAGUGAGGGAUAAGCCCGAGAAAUCGGGUCUAAUACCGCAUAUGGUCUACGGAUUAAAGCCUUCGGGCGCUUCGGGAGGAGCCUGCGUUCGAUUAGCUUGUUGGUGAGGUAAUGGCUCACCAAGGCUAUGAUCGAUAGCUGGUCUGAGAGGAUGAUCAGCCACACUGGGACUGAGACACGGCCCAGACUCCUACGGGAGGCAGCAGUAGGGAAUUUUCCACAAUGGGCGAAAGCCUGAUGGAGCAAUGCCGCGUGCAGGAUGACAGCCUUCGGGUCGUAAACUGCUUUUAUGAUUGAGGAUUAUGACGUUAGAUCAUGGAUAAGCUUCGGCUAACUCCGUGCCAGCAGCCGCGGUCAGACGGAGGAAGCAAGCGUUAUCCGGAGUGACUGGGCGUAAAGAGAUGCGUAGGCGGUAUAUUAAGCGGACAGUGAAAUCUUGAGGCUCAACCUUGAGGCUACUGUCUGAACUAAUAUACUAGAGCCCGAUAGGGGAAGCUGGAAUUCCUAGUGUAGGAGUGAAAUCCGUAGAUAUUAGGAGGAACACCAAUGGCGAAGGCAGGCUUCUGGAUCGGUGCUGACGCUCAGGCUCGAAAGCGUGGGGAGCGAACGGGAUUAGAUACCCCGGUAGUCCACGCCGUAAACGAUGGAUACUAGCUAGUUGGAGGUAUCGACCCCUUCAGCAGCGAAGCUAACGCGUUAAGUAUCCCGCCUGGGGAGUACGGUCGCAAGAUUAAAACUCAAACGAAUAGACGGGGACCCGCACAAGCGGUGGAGCGUGUUCUUUAAUUGGAUGAUAAGCCAAGAACCUUACCCAGACUUGACAUCCUUGGAA